Molecule: long non-coding RNA, 2794 nt
Filed under: Dromaius novaehollandiae (emu)
Lineage: Eukaryota; Metazoa; Chordata; Aves; Casuariiformes; Dromaiidae
Description: lncRNA (ENSDNVG00000011544.1)
Source: RNAcentral
AAAAGAAAGAAAAAUGUUAAGCUAAUGCAAUGGGUGAAAAAGAAAAAAAAACAGUUUUUUUUUCCUAUGCCAACUUUAUUUGUCUGUGUUCAUCUUCAAAUAUGUUAUGUUAUGCCAUAUCUUUCUAAACUGAAAUAUUACCAGGACAGAUGGCAGUGGUUUUUGGUAGUCCAUGAAGCAUCAUGCAAAAUACUGCGUUGUACACUCCCAUAUACUAUGUUUUGAAAUCUUGUGCAUAAGGAACUAGAAAAGUAUGAAAGUAUUUUACUUUUUAAUUUCUUAAACACAAUCAAAUAUUUUAUUUACCAGGAUCGUGAAAGGUGAAAGCUGCAAGCCAUAAUGAAGUUGUAAGCCAAGCCACCAACCUAAUUACCAUUUUUGUUUGUUUCUCAGCUUACCAUCUUCAUUUAGAAUAAGCGGUUGUUCUUGACAAUUUCUGCAUUUUUUUCUCUGUUCUUUGACAGAUGUACAUUCAAGGAAAGCUACUCUUUGCCAACUAUAUUUUCAAUGGAUACAGCAAAUCAACUGAAGACUUUCAAAAACAAAUAGCUAUGACAAGGAGUGAUUACCGCAUGGGUUACUGUCUUCCGAGCAAUUUCAGGUUCAGAGCAGCUGAAGACUACUGGUCUGGUGUGUGUUUCCUGUCUCCACACGAAAGAGAAACUGUGGAUCUUUCUCAGUGCCUAUGAACUUCAGAGUGUAUCACAUGUGAUCUCCCUCUGUAGCCCUGCCAGGAGUCUCUCACUGUAGUUUGUUCUUUUAAACAUUUCCUCUUAAAUUUAGUUUUCAUUUAUUAACCAAUUAAACAGCAGCCUAUCAAGAUCCAUUGCUUUCACUGUGGUUUUCUUGACAAUCCAUACUGCCCUAAGGCCCUGUUUUGGGAAAUGCUGAGGGACAUGUGUUUGUUURUAUGUUUAAGAUAGGACAGAUGGGCUGACAAGCACUCACAGCAGCUCUGGUGCAAAGCCUUUAUAAGAGAAAACAAAGUUAAGUGGCUUUUCUAAUUAAGGAUGUGAAAUCAGUGUGCAUUUUAAAUACCUCCAUAGAACCUACUUGGUAGAAAAGCAUUCAGUUCUCUUGCCAUUAGAUAAUUUUCUAAGAAAAAUUAAGUUUUUAUUUAUAUCCUGAGUAAAUAACUGAAAAGUUUGAUAUGCAAAAAACACAACAUCUUUGCCAGACAAGGUUUUCGAUGUGCAUGUACAAUAACAAUGAAUUAAAAAGGAAAAAAUCACAGAAACCCUUUGGAUUAAAAUUAAGACACAAUCUGUUAUUACUGCUCAAGAAAAAUUGUAAAGGGUUAGAUGCAGGGGAGAUUGAGUAGCAAUUAUGUUCUGAAAACACAUGCUCUUUGAGAGUGGGGAAGGUUUAAGCACAACUGCUAGUUCUCAAAGCUUCUAGGGCUCAAGGCUAGGCAGCUGUUGAGCUGAAGCGCAGUGGCAUAGCAGCUGGAGAGCAUGCUUUCAGCCCCUAUCACAGCAAGCAGCAAGCUUAUUUAGCACAACUAAGACUCAGUUUUAACUGUGCCACUUUCCUGUUGGAAAGAACCAGUAAAGCUCACAUAAUGAGGAACAUGCAUCUAAGAAUCAGGCUUGCUGGGGAGAUGUUAGCACCUUGCUAUCACUGAAGAGGGAGAUUCCUGGAAGGGAAGCCUCUGAAUACCAGAAAGGAAUAGGAGGGCCAUGUUGAAAAGGAGGUCAAACCUCCCUGUCGGGGAAGUCAGGAUGGACAAGAUACCAGCCCUAAGAAUACUUCUGUUUAUGGAUAGGAACGCAUGGGUGCAGGUUCUCUCUGAUCUGCCAUUUCAUGAGGUUUAAUCAACAGGUUCAGAAAAGAAGGGGAAAAAGUGCGCUAGCUCCUAGAAAGUUGGAAGCAGAAUACUAGAGAAAAGCUGAAGACUGCUAAGAGGGAAGAGAGACCAYUGGAGGAAAGAACACACCCAGCAAAAACUGGAGGUUUGAAAGAUACCUCCAGAGACAUUGAAUCUAGUUCAGUGCUCCCACAGGCAAUCAGCCCAGUAUAAUUCUUUCCAGAAAUGGUCAGACCAGAAGAGCCUCUCUAGCCCUUCUGUGCCCAGGUCCAGUAUUUUUCAGUGUGGCCACUAAUAUUUUUGUUUGAAAUACAUUACCUGGUACAUCAUAAGAUAGUAAACCAGGAGAGAAAACUAAAAAAAAAAAAAGUUUGGCUUGUAUAGCUUACAAAGGCGGUGGCGUAGAGGGAAUAUGUUUAUGAGUGGGACUGCAUAUGACAUGGAUGCCUGCAGUAGAAGAAGACAGAGUCAAUAACCCAAAGAGCGCUUUUGAGGCUUCCUGMUCCUGUAUAAAUUUCAGCACUAAUCUAUGAGGGCCAGAUCUCUACAACCUUUCCAAACCUAGAGCUCACAGGUGCACGCUGACUGUCUGUGAACAUUUACAUUAGGACAUUAAAAACUUUGAGUACAAUGGCAUACUGAGCAGCACAGAAACUGACAGCCUGGACUCGUUUAAAUUUGACCAUCUGUGGCUUCGGAUGAAAGAUCUUGAGGACAAUUGAUGGAUUUCUGGCAUUCAUCCCAGAGUAAAUAUAAAAUUGUGUAACUAGACAUAAAAAGCCUUUUAUUUUAAGAAACAUACACAUCAAACAUUAUAAACAGCGGCUCAUUUAUAGUGCUUCUAUCCAGAUGAAAUGGAUGAUUCGCUGUUAGUAUUGACUACUGAAGCAUGAUUUUAAGCACUGAUUUUUCUUUGUUUAUUUAGGAUUGGACCUUUUUUUAAUAGCAAGAAAUAAAGGAAAGCAUUGGUCACUUUCUAUUUGGGAA